RNAcentral lists this ribosomal RNA (1155 nucleotides) under uncultured bacterium. RNAcentral describes it as "bacterial SSU rRNA". It matches the Rfam family "Bacterial small subunit ribosomal RNA", at positions 29 to 1179 of the family's 1533-position model. The record is from RNAcentral.
UUGAACGCUGGCGGCAUGCCUUACACAUGCAAGUCGAACGGUAACAGGUCUUCGGAUGCUGACGAGUGGCGAACGGGUGAGUAAUACAUCGGAACGUGCCCGAUCGUGGGGGAUAACGAAGCGAAAGCUUUGCUAAUACCGCAUAAGAUCUACGGAUGAAAGCAGGGGACCGCAAGGCCUUGCGCGAACGGAGCGGCCGAUGGCAGAUUAGGUAGUUGGUGGGAUAAAAGCUUACCAAGCCGACGAUCUGUAGCUGGUCUGAGAGGACGACCAGCCACACUGGGACUGAGACACGGCCCAGACUCCUACGGGAGGCAGCAGUGGGGAAUUUUGGACAAUGGGCGAAAGCCUGAUCCAGCCAUGCCGCGUGCAGGAUGAAGGCCUUCGGGUUGUAAACUGCUUUUGUACGGAACGAAAAGACUCUGGUUAAUACCUGGGGUCCAUGACGGUACCAUAAGAAUAAGCACCGGCUAACUACGUGCCAGCAGCCGCGGUAAUACGUAGGGUGCAAGCGUUAAUCGGAAUUACUGGGCGUAAAGCGUGCGCAGGCGGUUAUAUAAGACAGAUGUGAAAUCCCCGGGCUCAACCUGGGAACUGCGUUUGUGACUGUGGUGCUCGAGUGCGGCAGAGGGGGGUGGAAUUCCACGUGUAGCAGUGAAAUGCGUAGAGAUGUGGAGGAACACCGAUGGCGAAGGCAGCCCCCUGGGUCGACACUGACGCUCAUGCACGAAAGCGUGGGGAGCAAACAGGAUUAGAUACCCUGGUAGUCCACGCCCUAAACGAUGCGAACUAGUGUUGGGGAAGGAGACUUCUUUAGUACCGUAGCUAACGCGUGAAGUUCGCCGCCCUGGGGAGUACGGUCGCAGAUUAAAACUCAAGGAAUUGACGGGGACCCGCACAAGCGGUGGAUGAUGUGGAUUAAUUCGAUGCAACGCGAAAAACCUUACCUACCUUGAACAUGCCCGGAACCCUGGUGAGAAGCUGGGGGGUGCCCGAAAGGAACGGACACAGGGUGCUGCAUGGCUGUCGUCAGCUCUGGUCGUGAAAAUGUUUCGGUUAAGUUCCCGCAACGGAGCGCACCCUUGGUCAAUUAAUUGGCAAUCAUGGCUUGGCACUUUAUGGAACUGCCGGUGACCAUCGGGAGGAAGGGUGGGG